CUCAACCAGUAGACUGCGCUUGAAACUGGCGGGCUAGAGAUCAGGAGAGGAAAGUGGAAUUCCUAGUGUAGCGGUGAAAUGCGUAGAUAUUAGGAAGAACAUCGAUGGCGAAGGCAGCUUUCUGGCCUGACACUGACGCUGAGGCGCGAAAGCGUGGGGAGCAAACAGGAUUAGAUACCCUGGUAGUCCACGCCGUAAACGAUGGAUACUAGGUGUAGGGGGUUCGAUUCCCUCUGUGCCGCAGUUAACGCAAUAAGUAUCCCGCCUGGGGAGUACGGUCGCAAGAUUGAAACUCAAAGGAAUUGACGGGGGCCCGCACAAGCGGUGGAGUAUGUGGUUUAAUUCGAUGCAACGCGAAGAACCUUACCAAGGCUUGACAUCCCAUGACAGCUCAUGAAAGUGAGUUUUCCCUUAGGGGACAU
This 422-nucleotide ribosomal RNA is filed under the name uncultured bacterium. RNAcentral's name for it is "bacterial SSU rRNA". It matches the Rfam family "Bacterial small subunit ribosomal RNA", at positions 608 to 1029 of the family's 1533-position model. The record is from RNAcentral.